This 253-nucleotide ribosomal RNA is filed under the name uncultured bacterium. RNAcentral's name for it is "partial 16S ribosomal RNA". It matches the Rfam family "Bacterial small subunit ribosomal RNA", at positions 524 to 776 of the family's 1533-position model. The record is from RNAcentral.
UACGUAGGUGGCAAGCGUUGUCCGGAUUUACUGGGCGUAAAGAGCGCGCAGGCGGCCAAGUCAGUCGAACGUGAAAUCCCCCGGCUCAACUGGGGAAAGACAUUCGAUACUGCAUGGCUUGAAGAUAGGAGAGGGAAGCGGAAUUUCAGGUGUAGUGGUGAAAUGCGUAGAUAUCCGAAGGAACACCAGUGGCGAAGGCGGCUUUCUGGCCUAUUCUUGACGCUGAGGCGCGAAAGCUAGGGGAGCGAACGGG